RNA transcript from Ziziphus jujuba (common jujube), 1682 nucleotides. It is a transcript of the gene named dihydroneopterin aldolase 2, with no coding region annotated. NCBI's taxonomy places the organism in Eukaryota, Viridiplantae, Streptophyta, Magnoliopsida, Rosales, Rhamnaceae. The transcript has 6 exons. The record is from RefSeq and is a predicted model, not a curated record.
UUGUUUAUUCAUUAAAGCAGCGGUUUUUGCCAGUGCAAUUUAAUAGUUUCUUGCCUUUUAAUUUAUUUUUGUUAUUUUAGGCCUGAAGCCGCCGAAUAGCAAGAAGUCGGCAGCGUAAACUGCCGUCGACCGUCGUCAAGUACGCCGGAGCCAAUUACGGGGCAGUCAUGGAAGAUGCUCCAAUUCCCAGAGGUGAUAAGCUCAUAUUGAGAGGCUUGAAGUUUCACGGUUUUCAUGGGGUGAAACCUGAAGAAAGAAAGCUGGGACAGAAGUUUUUGGUAGAUGUUGAUGCUUGGAUGGAUCUCCACCCGGCUGGUUUAUCUGAUCGCUUGGCCGAUACCAUUAGUUAUACUGAAAUUUAUGACAUGGUAAAGGAAGUUAUAGAAGGAAAACCUCAUAAUCUUCUUGAGUCAGUUGCUCAACACAUUGCAUCAACCACUCUAACAACAUACCCUCAAAUUUCUGCUGUUCGCGUGACGGUUGGGAAACCUCAUGUUUGUGUUCAGGGUCCUCUUGAUUAUUUGGGUGUUGAGAUUCUCAGAUACAGAAGAGUUGGGAUGGAAGAUGCUGCCAUUCCGAAGGGUGAUAAGCUCAUAUUGAGAGGCUUAAAGUUUCACGGUUUUCAUGGGGUGAAACCUGAAGAAAGAAAGCUGGGCCAGAAGUUUUUGGUAGAUGUUGAUGCUUGGAUGGAUCUCCACCCAGCUGGUUUAUCUGACCGAUUGUCCGAUACCAUUAGUUAUACUGAAAUUUAUCGGAUAGUAAAGGAGGUUAUAGAAGGACAACCUCAUAAUCUUCUUGAAUCAGUUGCUCAACUCAUUGCAUCUACCACUCUAACAAGAUAUCCCCAAAUUUCUGCUGUUCGUGUCUUGGUCGGAAAGCCUCAUGUUUCUGUUCAGGGUCCUCUUGAUUGUUUGGGUGUUGAGAUUCACAGAUACAGAAGUAUUCAUAUACCAAAGUAGAUUUUUGUUUCUUUAUUGUUAUUAUUAUUAUUGCAGUAUAUGCAUAAUCUUUGAAUAUGUGCGUUUUUUUGUUUCUACUUAUGAUAGUUUUCGGGGAACAUAAUAAUUUGAUUCCGAUCUUAUUAUGUUGAUAGCUCUCUCUCUCUCUCUCUCUGUGGAAUAUGAACUAUUGUAAUUCACUGCAACCAUAUUCUUUUACUUUCACAUUGGGUGGGUGCAAGUUAGAAUUUAAAUUCAUGUUUUUGAACAAAAGCCGUAGAUCAGAAUGUUAAAACUUCCAUUAAAACUGUAAUUCCUUGGUAUUGAGACUGCUGCUGAAUCGAAAGCUAUAUGUACUCUUAACAGGGCGUUUGGGGCUGACAUGCUCUGCUACUUUGCGUGAUGCUGACUUGUGCAGUAAAACCCAGCAGUACUCUUGUAGUGCCCAAUGGAAUAGAAUGCAAAGGCUUCCAAUUAUCAUCAAAACAGUUCCCUUGAAUGAGCAAAUUAAGCAUAUUGGAAGAUAGGUCAUGACCUCAAAAGGGAAUUGAAUCCCCUUUUUUGUACCCAUAAAAGGAAAAAAGUACUUGUUUCGCCCAAGGUACUGAUAGAUCACUGAAUGCUAAGGUUAUGUACAAUUCUCAGAUUUGCUACUUUUUGUAUUUUAAUUCAGAUGAAUUUUCCGUUGUACUUAUGCUCUGAUGCAAAACAAAAACAAAGUAAAAGUCCGCUUGAAUUUUCCUA